GAACAUUUUUUAGCAGCCACUAUAUUUCAAAAUUUGAAAACCUAUUCUCCUCCCUCAUCAGAUCUCUCUCCAUCCAUCUCUCCGCCUGCCGGUACCGAAGCUCUGCACCGUCAUCGGAGCAAACAUAGAAACUUUGCUUGCAAUGCAAACAAAGGAACUGUCGGUAGAGACUUUUCAUCUGUUUGCGAAAACCGAAGCUCGAUCCCUUCGCAGUUACUCAGCAUGGAUGGAUGUCAUUGGUGGUGUUGCAGAGGUAUGGUGUCGGAGAGUAUCUUGAAGGAGCUCAAAGAUUUGCAGAAGGACCCUCCUACGACCAGUGAAGAAGUUCAAGAAGUGAAGACGCAAUAGCUCAGCAGCAAGAUAAUGAUGCUGGAAAGCUAACCAGAGGAUAUUCACUAUCUAAGAAAAAAGAGAAUAAUGGUGGUAGAGAUCCUGCCGUUGAAGGUGCUAUCGACGGUGAGGCAGAAUGACCAAAAGAGAAUCAGAAGCAAAGAAGAAGAAAUAAUCUUGCAGCAAAGGAGAAGUAGUCAAUUAAAGCUCUUCUUCAUCCUUUUUUUAUUCUUCAGCUAUGUGUUUGGAUCAGAAAUUGUAGAUUCAAGAAUCAGAAUUUGGAGUUUUCACGUGAAAGUCACUAUUAUGGCAGAUCUAAGAAACAGAUUUAC
Molecule: non-coding RNA, 662 nt
Organism: Arachis ipaensis
Lineage: Eukaryota; Viridiplantae; Streptophyta; Magnoliopsida; Fabales; Fabaceae
Source: RefSeq, a predicted model, not a curated record